This 770-nucleotide ribosomal RNA is filed under the name Chenopodium detestans. RNAcentral describes it as "eukaryotic LSU rRNA". The stretch from base 335 to 490 matches the Rfam family "5.8S ribosomal RNA". Lineage: Eukaryota; Viridiplantae; Streptophyta; Magnoliopsida; Caryophyllales; Amaranthaceae. The record is from RNAcentral.
GGCGGUUCGCCGCCGGCGACGUCGCGAGAAGUUCACUGAACCUUAUCAUUUAGAGGAAGGAGAAGUCGUAACAAGGUUUCCGUAGGUGAACCUGCGGAAGGAUCAUUGUCGAAACCUGCAAAGCAGAGCGACCAGAGAACGUGUUUAUCAUAAAAGGGGUUGUGGCGAAAGCCCCUUCCCCAAGCUGGUGAGGUGCUCCGCCUCGGCGGGGUGCCCUUCUGGCACAAUAACAAACCCGGCGCGGUCUGCGCCAAGGAACAUGGAUACAAGCGUGCCCUUCUGUAGCCGGUUUGCCGGUUGCAGAGGUGGCACCAAGUCGUAUAUAACAUUAAACGACUCUCGGCAACGGAUAUCUCGGCUCUCGCAUCGAUGAAGAACGUAGCGAAAUGCGAUACUUGGUGUGAAUUGCAGAAUCCCGUGAACCAUCGAGUCUUUGAACGCAAGUUGCGCCCGAAGCCUUUAGGUCGAGGGCACGCCUGCCUGGGCGUCACGCAUCGCGUCUCCCCCCCACCCACCUCGAGUGGGAGGGGCGGAGGAUGAUGGCCUCCCAUGCCUCACCGGGCGUGGAUGGCCUAAAUACGGAGCCCCCGGUUACAAAGUGCCGCGGCGAUAGGUGGUAGACAAGGCCUAGCCUAGGAUGCAUCGUAGUCGCGCACAUUGUAGCUCUUGAGGACUCGUAGGACCCUUAGUUGUUCGCCCUUAGGGGCGGCAAAACCGUUGCGACCCCAGGUCAGGCGGGGCUACCCGCUGAGUUUAAGCAUAUCAAUAAG